UGCCACACAUCUCUCCAGGAGAUGUGGACACCCAGAAAUCUGAAGCUGGUGAUACACUCCACUUCAGUCCCAUUGAUGAGAAUGGGGGUGUGUGCUAGCUUUAGACUUCCUGAAGUCCACAAUGAGCUCUUUGGUCUUCAAUAAUUCUGUUAACAGGACUUGCAGGAAAUUGUGGGAACAUAUGAA
This is a long non-coding RNA of Alosa sapidissima (American shad), 186 nucleotides long. RefSeq lists it as uncharacterized. The transcript has 3 exons. Lineage: Eukaryota; Metazoa; Chordata; Actinopteri; Clupeiformes; Clupeidae. The record is from RefSeq and is a predicted model, not a curated record.